This is a small nuclear RNA of Malus domestica (apple), 104 nucleotides long. Lineage: Eukaryota; Viridiplantae; Streptophyta; Magnoliopsida; Rosales; Rosaceae. The record is from RefSeq and is a predicted model, not a curated record.
GUUUUCUAUGGGGACAUCCGAGAAUACUAGAAUGAUACAGAGAAGAUAAGCAUGACCUCUCCACAAAGAUGAUACACAUAAAUCGAGAAUGUUAACUGGCCUAG